This is a long non-coding RNA of Drosophila ficusphila, 1217 nucleotides long. RefSeq lists it as uncharacterized. NCBI's taxonomy places the organism in Eukaryota, Metazoa, Arthropoda, Insecta, Diptera, Drosophilidae. The transcript is spliced from 2 exons. The record is from RefSeq and is a predicted model, not a curated record.
GUCGUCGCCGUCGCCGUCGACUGCGAAAGGGGGUGACCGAAGAAAGGGCAGGCCGACAUUUUGAAUUUACUUUGCAUACUGCUGCCUUUUGUUCUUGAACCAAAUUGAAAUACGUUUUUACGACGCUUUAAAAAUAAACAGGCACUCGGACGCGGGCGAACUUUUGGGGGAGUGCCAAAGCUGCUCGAUAUUUUUGGAGUUGCAUCGUGGAAGCAAACGAGUUAGCUGAAAGCUUCCGGCAUUACAAAUAACACAGUGACUAACAACAUCAAAGAACCGAUCCCGGGGGCGUGUUCUCGAAACUGGUUGGGUAUUAUUUCUGGGGUCCUGCCCACGGAUGCCCCCAGUUUCCGUUUCUCGUUUUCGUUUAGAUGUCACCCAAACAUCAACCAUUGCCUUUCAACUAAUCCGGGAUCGGUACUCGCCUGAAGAUUCCGAAGAGUCGAUAAAAAAGGUAUGUACAUACAUACAUAUGUACAUAUGUACACAUCUUGCAGGCACCAAAACAGGAGCGAGAGUGUGUGUGUUAUUUUUGGCAAAACACGUUUAACAGGUUGACUGGCAGGGACUGGAAAAGUUGGCGUUAGAAAUUUAGCCAGAAUCAGAAGUGACUAUCGUGAGAUCAGUGAUUUUAUCAUCCCAACUCAGAUCCAAUCACAAAAUCCUAAGCAGAAGACAGCACUGUCGCCUUGAACUUGAAUUUCGGAGCAGAGAAAACUGGCCUUCGAACGAAGCUCGGUACAGUAAACACUCGGUGCGUCCAGAGAGCAGCGAUGCAGGGGAAAACGGGCGGAAACGGAGCUGCAGCCUGCAGCCCGAACAAAAGCGCUCGACUUUUCGUGUACAGCCAACGAGCAGCGUCAAAAAGUGACGCGUCGCUGCAGUCUUGUCCUUGAACUUGGCAAACGUUUUUAUGGCUGUGUUUUUUGCAGGCGAACAGACACACACUCGUGCAAUUCGCUUUCAAAUGCACACAGCUGCAGCCGAACGCGCAGGGGCGCAUUAUAUAUAUGUGUGUAUGUGUGUACAUCCAUGUGUGCACUCAUCGUUGUUAUAUGCAGGAACACAACUACAAUCUGUCCACGAAAAUGUAUCAUUUUUAUGACGAACAUUGAAUCAUUGAGCAAUUUUAAACUCUUUUGUAUUCUGGUUUCUUAAACACAAAGAUACAUAUGUACAUAUGUAAACCGAGAUUUAUUGCGGUUUCGGCAAUCCCA